Molecule: long non-coding RNA, 276 nt
Filed under: Musa acuminata (dwarf banana)
Lineage: Eukaryota; Viridiplantae; Streptophyta; Magnoliopsida; Zingiberales; Musaceae
Description: long non-coding RNA (MACU_LNC006528)
Source: RNAcentral
CGACAUCCGUAAAACGGGUGUACAUGUCAACAACGAUUUCGCUUGGUUUCAUAUGAAAAAGCUCGAAAUCAUGCAGUAAAAUAUUAACUUUCGAGUCUUUGACUCUACUAGUUCCCUCGUGCGUGAUUUCAAGAGUGCGCCAAAUAUCGAAAGCCGUUUCGCACAAAGAAACCCGAUUGAACUCAUUUUUGUCCAAAGCGCAAAAUAAGGCAUUCAUAGCCUUUGCGUUUAAAGAAAAAUACUUCUUCUCUAAAUCCGACCAUUCGUUCAUCGGUU